Molecule: long non-coding RNA, 5359 nt
Organism: Orcinus orca (killer whale)
Lineage: Eukaryota; Metazoa; Chordata; Mammalia; Artiodactyla; Delphinidae
Exons: 3
Source: RefSeq, a predicted model, not a curated record
GUGGGAUCUUCCCGGACCGGGGCACGAACCCGUGUCCCCUGCAUCGGCAGGCAGACUCUCAACCACUGCUCCACCAGGGAAGCCCUAAAGAUGUAUAUUUAUCAUCAGAAUGGCCAUUAUCAAAAAAUCUAGAAACAAUAAAUGCUAGAAAGGGUGUUGUGAAAAAGGAACCCUCCUGCAAUGUUGGUGGGAAUGUAAAUUGAUACAACCACUAUGGAGAACAGUAUGGAGAAUCCUUAAAAAACUAAAAAUAGAAUAUACCCUGAGAAAACCAUAAUUCAAAAAGAGACAUGUACCACAAUGUUCAUUGCAGCACAAUUUACAAUAGCCAGAACAUGGAACCAACCUAAAUGUCCAUAGACAGAUGAAUGGAUAAAGAAGGUGUGGCACAUAUAUACAAUGGAAUAUUAGCCAUAAAAAGAAACAAAAUAGAGUUAUUUGUAGUGAGGUGGAUGGACCUAGAGUCUGUCAUACAGAGUGAAGUAAGUCAGAAAGAGAAAAAAAAUACCGUAUGCUAACACAUGUAUAUGGUAUCUUAAAAAAUGGUACUGAUCAACCUAGUGGCAGGGCAGGAAUAUAGACAUAGAGAAUGGACUUGAGGACACGGGGUGGGAGGGGGAAGCUGGGGCAAAGUGAGAGUAGCAUUGACAUAUAUACACUACCAAAUGUAAAAUAGCUAGUGGGAAGCAGCAGCAUAGCACAGGGAGAUCAGCUCGGUGCUUUGCAAUGACUUAGAGAUGUGGGAUAGGGUGGGUGGGAGGGAGGCUCAAGAGGGAGGGGAUAUAGGGAUAUAUGUAUGCAUAUAGCUGAUUCACUUUGUUGUACAACAGAAACUAACACAGUAUUGUGAAGCAAUUGAACUCCAAUAAAGAUCUAUUUUAAUAAAGAUGUAUAGGGCUUCCCUGGUGGCGCAGUGGUUGAGAAUCCACCAUAUAUAUAUAUAUACAUCUUUAAGAACACUUUUAAAAUGAUGCCUAGGACCAUGGAGCUUAUAAUGUGAUGUGGGAUAGUGCCCCUUUCCCAGAAGAGGAAUCCAUUAAAACCCUACCAGUUCAUGUAUGGAUGUGUCCCGUUCAGCUCUUCUAAGCAGAGGCAAACAGCUUAUUUCAUGUAGUACAGAGAUUGGAGAGGGUUACCUAGGAGCCAGAACUCCCAUUACAGAGAGUAAAUGAGGAUAAAAGGAAUAUAUGGAAAGAGCCCUUCCUUAGUCUGAGUGGUAGAAUUUGAUAUUGGAAAAUUCCUGGACUGAUAAUCAAAUCAAAAUCCAAUGCAUUAUAGUUAAGUUUUUAGAAACGUCCUGGCUUCACGUAUCUUAAUGAUUAUUCUUUCAUGUGGUCUAGAACGUUGAAAGAAGACUUCUCUGGAUGGCAUUCUAAUUGUACCAAAUUUGAAUCAAUCACUUUAAUGAAAUAAUGCUGUUUGCAGCAACAUGGACAGACCUAGAGAUGAUCAUACUAAGCAAAAAUCGUCUAUAUUUUUUGCCUAUUGAUCUGUUUGAUCCUUGAUGGUUUUCUUACUUCUACUGGAGGCCUUUAUUUGGUAAAGAUAUUUACCACUUAUAUUUGUUGCGAUCUUUUUCCAGCUUCUAGUUGGUCUUUUAAUUUUGUUUAUAGUCUCAUAUAGAUUUCAAGCAUUUUAAUGCUGUUAAAUGUGCUGCUACUUUCCUCUGAGUUUCUGACACUGCUCUUAAAAUUAGGAAGUUAUUUAGGGAGAUAUGCUGCUUGAUCAAUAGAACCUGACAGAUAUGCAACUCUGUUUUUUUCUAUUUAUGGCUUGAUGCUUACAUAUUUAACUCCUCGAUCUACCUACACAUUUUUUUGGCGUAAGGUAGGAAAACAGGAUCUAACUUAUCUUUUUCCCCAAAUAAAAAAACCUGUGGCUUGAGUACUAUAUUGAAUAAUUCCUAUUUUCGUAUAAUUAUUAGUAAGUGAAGUUAUAAUGUCAUCAAGACCCCAUGUUCCUUCUUUAUUGCUGAUCUAGAAAGACCAAUUUUGCCAAGACCUGAAUUGCUUUGGUCUGGAUAUAUUUUGCUCUAUUUUAUUGUUUCUUUGAGGUAAAAAUGGAGGCUAGCUUUUUCCUCCCUUAUAUUACUGAAUAACAAACAAGAGAUCAACUCAUUUGCGUUUGAUAUUAGUGAAUAUUUUGCCUGUUUCACAUUUUGUAAUUUAAUAUCAUUUAAUUUUCACUGGUAGCAAUACGUUUUGAUUUCUGUUUGCAUACACUAGCUAAAACUAGGAAAGUCAAUUGCUUAAAUUACUAAAGGUGAAAUCCUGACUGAUUCUGGCUUUAAAAUAUACUCCUAAAGGGAAGUUCAAAAUUUAAAAAAAUCAAUUCACAAACAGAGAAAAUAAAUAACAGGCAGCCUGUCUACUGAAUUAAAGGACCACAUGAAAUAAAGAGAAGGUGAAUUUUGUCAUGGGAGGAGGGGACAAGAGGGCUGCCUGCCCGAGGACAGAGCCAGAGUGGGGGACGGCCCAGACAUUCCAGAGUCGCUGUGAGAUCCAGGGAGAACCCAGCAGGUCUGUAUUCUGGUAUGCUGCUGGAAGAUUAUCUUUUAAUAUAUUGAAAACCCCAUGGUGAAAACAUUGUCUGCCUCGGGAUACAACACUGGGUUUAAAUAUACUAAAUGAUGCCAAAGAAGGAGCAUAUGCCAAGUGUAUAUGAGCCUUCCACGACCAUUCCUGUAUGUCAGAAUUGAGCACAGGUCCUGGGAAUGAGUAGAAAAAUCAUCCAGUGAAGACAGAGUUAUGUUAUCCAUUGAAUUAUUAAUACACUGUUAAAAUAUUUCACUCUUCACACAGCUGACAUUUUGAGUUCAUUCUUUUACAAAUUAGUAAAGAAGCAAGCCAAAUUGCUCAAGCUAAGUUAUACAAGCUUUUCAAAGGUAAGAGCAGAAAAUGUUCAGAAACUGUUCAGUGAGGGCCCACACUAGCUAGACCAGAAUGUCUCAAUAAAUUAAAGCUAAAGGUAAACAUGCAGCUUAGUUUACCAUGCUUUUGUAAUAAAUAUAAAGUGUUCGUAUUGACGUAUUUUAUGUUCCCGCCCCUCGGGGGAGGAAAAAACCCAUAAAUGUCUGUCCUUAGAAGCAGAGAGUAUCAUGGUAUCGAUAUGACCCAUCACUAAAUGGUAGAGCUAGCCUGGGAAGAAAAUGGAAAAGUUUGGAACAACCUAUGCUUUCACUGGACAUGUAAAACCUCUCCACCUGAUGGUGUCAUUACCAGCAUAAUGGAACACUCUUUGACAAUGCCUAGGGUCUAUUUAAAUAUUGGACCAAGGUGGAGCUGGCCAUGCAGAUGUGCAAUACAGUACAUCUUCAAGUGUCUGCUAUGGGUCUGUCCCCAACCACUGCAAUUAACUGUUGGGACCCUGUGUGGGUCUCACCUCGUCCAUGAGCCUGCAGGGAUGGGGCACUAACCCCUGAAUAUUCCUGCUUCUGGUCUAGCUCCCAACAAGCUCUCCUGUGUACUCACUGAAGAGCAUUCCAGAGGGGCCCACAGUUUAUAGAGGCGCUGUCUGGAAGGUCUCACAGACAUUAAUUUAUAUUGGAAAAAAAGAAAACGAAAACAUUUGGGAGAAUCAUGGCUGCCUUUGUGUACAAAAUAAAAUUUGUUUUUAUUGUUUUGCACUUUAAACAAUAGAUUCUUUUGCAGCUGAACUUUUCGACCUUGAAUUACACUUGAAAAAUGAGCACAAACAGAUUGUGAAAGAUGAUUGCGAGGUUGUGGAAAGUACUGAUGUCAGAAUCAAAAGAACAGAGUUUAAGUUUCUGCUCGUUUAGUUUCUGAAUGUGUGAUCCUGAGCAAGCCACUUGACCCAUAUACAAAAGACGUAAACAAAAUAGAAGGAAAAGUUAAUGUUAAAGAAGAUACAUGCCAACUUUGGGCUGGCCAAAAAGUUCAUUUGGCUUUUCUUCCGUAGGAUGGCUCUAGUAGCUCUUAGUUGUCUUUAACUUCAUUUGAAACUAUUUUGUUAGAUUGUAUGUGACAGCUGUCAUAUCAGCGUGCAUUUAAAAAAACAUCAAAACUGGUGAAUUUUUGUGUAGCCAUUUUAAUACUGAAGAUUGAAGAAGAAAAGCAACAUUUUUGGCAUAUUAUGCUUUAAUAUUUCAAGAAAGGUAAAAACACAACUGAAAUGCAAAAGAUUUGUGCAGUGUAUGGAGAAGGUGCUGUGACCGACUGAACAUGUCAAAAGCGGUUUGCGAAGUUUCGUGCUGGAGAUUUCUCACUGGAGGAUGUCCCACAGAGUUGGGUAGACCAGUUGAAGUUGAUAGCGAUCAAAUCGAGACAUUAAUUGAGAACAAUCAAUGUUAUACCACAUGGGAGAUAGCUGACAUACUGGGAAUAUGCAAAUAAAGCUUUGAAAAUCAUUUGCACCAGCUUGAUUAUGUCAAUUGCCUUGAUGUUUGGGUUCCACAUAAGUUAAGCGAAAACAACCUUCUUGACCGUAUUUCCUCAUGCGAUUCUCUACUUAAACAUAACGAAAACGUUCUGUUUUUAUUUUUUAUUUAUUUUUUAAUUUUAAAAAAAUUUUUUUAAAAUUUUUUAUUUUUUUUGUGGUACGCGAGCCUCUCACUGUUGUGGCCUCUCCCGUUGCGGAGCACAGGCUCCGGACGCGCAGGCUCAGCGGCCAUGACUCACGGGCUCAGCCGCUCCACGGCAUGUGGGAUCUUCCCGGACCGGGGCACGAACCCAUGUCCCCUGCAUCAGCAGGCGGACUCUCAACUACUGCGCCACCAGGGAAGCCCGAAAACGUUCUGUUUUUAAAACAAAUUGUGAUGGGCAGUGAAAAGUGGAUACUGUACAAUAAUGUGGAAUGGAAGAGAUCGUGGGGCAAGCGAGAUGAACCACCACGAACCACACCAAAAGCCGGUCUUCAUCCAAAGAAGGUGAUGUUGUGUGUACGGUGGGAUUGGAAGGGAGUCUUCUAUUAGGAGCUCCUUCCGGAAAACCAAACAACUAAUUCCAACAAGUACUGCUCCCUAUUAGAUCAACUGAAAGCAGCCCUCGAUGAAAAGCGUCCAGAAUUAGUCAACAGAAAAUGCAUAAUCUUCCAUCAGGAUAAUGCAAGACGGCAUGUUUCUUUGACGACCAGGCAAAAACUGUUACAGCUUGGCUGGAAAGUUCUUAUUCAUCUGCUGUACUCACCAGACAUGGCACCUUCGGAUUUCUAUUUAUUUCAGUCUUUACAAAAUUCUCUUAAUGGAAAAAAUUGCAAUUCCCUGGAAGACUCUAAAAGGCACCUGGAACAGUUCUUUGCUCAAAAAGGUGAAAAGUUUUGGGAAGAUGGAAUUAUGAAGUUGCCUGGAAAAUGGCAGAAGGUCAUGGAACAAAAAGGGUAAAUACGUUGUUCAAUAAAGUUC